GACGAACGCUGGCGGCGUGCCUAAUACAUGCAAGUUGAGCGCUGAAGGUUGGUACUUGUACCGACUGGAUGAGCAGCGAACGGGUGAGUAACGCGUGGGGAAUCUGCCUUUGAGCGGGGGACAACAUUUGGAAACGAAUGCUAAUACCGCAUAAAAACUUUAAACACAAGUUUUAAGUUUGAAAGAUGCAAUUGCAUCACUCAAAGAUGAUCCCGCGUUGUAUUAGCUAGUUGGUGAGGUAAAGGCUCACCAAGGCGAUGAUACAUAGCCGACCUGAGAGGGUGAUCGGCCACAUUGGGACUGAGACACGGCCCAAACUCCCACGGGAGGGAGCAGUAGGGAAUCUUCGGCAAGGGACGGAAGUCUGACCGAGCAACGCCGCGGGAGUGAAGAAGGUUUUCGGGUCGGAAAACUCUGUUGGUAGGGAAGAAAGUUGGUGAGAGUGGAAAGCUCAUCAAGUGACGGUAACUACCCAGAAAGGGACGGCUAACUACGUG
This 497-nucleotide ribosomal RNA is filed under the name uncultured bacterium. Its description in RNAcentral is "partial 16S ribosomal RNA". It matches the Rfam family "Bacterial small subunit ribosomal RNA", at positions 28 to 507 of the family's 1533-position model. The record is from RNAcentral.